Ornithorhynchus anatinus (platypus) is the source of this 2365-nucleotide long non-coding RNA. RefSeq lists it as uncharacterized. The record is from RefSeq and is a predicted model, not a curated record. Lineage: Eukaryota; Metazoa; Chordata; Mammalia; Monotremata; Ornithorhynchidae. The transcript has 3 exons.
GUUGCUCGGGUCAGCCCGGGAAGGCCUCAUUCAAAGGAAAGGACGUGUUAAAACCCGUCGCGCAAUGUGUAGACGACAGCUUUGUCUGAGGUUUGCCCUGGGCCUAGACAAGGAAGUCCUUGUGCUGAACUAUCCCAGGAGGAAGUGGGAUUAAAGUUUCUUUCCAGAGCCGCCAUGGUGGAGCAGGACUGGUAGGUCAGGUGUCAGCAGAGAUUCGGGCACGUGCCGGCGGGGAAGGAGUUACGAACAUAUGGAAUACUUCAUAAUGGCCCGGGCUGUGCAAAAUUUAAUCCGAACAGUGGAAAAGGAGGAGGAGAAGGAGAUGACUAAGGAGGAGGAAGAAGAGGAGAAGAAGUUGGAGGAAGAGGAGGGAGAUGAAGAGGAGAGAAAAUAUGAGGGACCCAGCAUGUUCUGUCCCCAGAGCCUGCUCCAGGUGGUGAAGUUCUGCGGGCUGGGGGGCUGAUUCCUGGGACCCAGGAAAAUGUGACCCCAGAUGGGAGAAGACUCCAGAGAGAAGACAAAGAGGGGGGCUGGGCUGAGUUGCCCUUGCUUAGAGGUGGGUGAGGAAUUCCUUGUGGAGGAAUCCCAGGGUGCACCCCCAGAGCGAGGAGUGAACAUGACAUGGGCCUCUCCCGAUGCCCUGGCGAUAUCCCCCCAAACCCCCAUGUCCCUGCCUGCCUCCACCAUCGACCACCCUAGGAAGCCCCUCCUGCCAUCGCCACCGGGAAUUGGUUUCUCCAGGACCAGCAAGAAUGCUCCCCUCGUGUCAAGUCUGCAUCACUCAGUCUGUUUCCCUUCCCCUCCUCAGGCUUGGGCUCUGGGAUUGAGAGCUGAGCAGCAACUGGCCUCUGACAGAGAGCCCCAUGAACAGAGAUUUUGUUGCCUCAAGGCAUCCCCCGGCAGCUUCGAACACAGAGCCCUGCCCAAAGGCAAAAUGUUCUCCAUUGUUCCUUCCUCUCCCUGGCUUCAAACCAUGGCCUAGGUUGAGUUCUCCUGAGGUGAGGGGAGGGAGAUUUAGGCUGCCUUGAUUCCCCAUGGCUCAAGGUGAUCACACAGUGCAUAGAGGGGGCUGCGGCCCUGGCCGUCACCCCCACACCAGGCCACAUGGCUCUACGAUGGCAGAUUGGGCCACAAGCCGGAAAUCAGUGGACCGCUGAAGGAGGGACUAUGUUGGAGGAGAGACUAAGGGUGAUGAUCGAGGAUGAGAGAGAACAUUGGAGAACAAGGGAGGCCAAUUACACACUCCACCGCCAAUGAGAAGCCCUGGAAAUUGACAGAGAGUAUUGGGACUAAUGUGGGUUCCGUUCAAUAGGACUGAAGGAUAUGGUUAGAGCAGCACCAACCGAGUUACCAAAUUUAAGCUGCGGGCCCCGAACUGGCCUCACAUGGGCAAACAUCAAGGACACUUCCUUAGUGCUGCAACGUGAUCCUUAUGUCCCUGAUGAUAACCUAAGACCGUCUCCAUUCUAAGGGCCAAAAAGGUAGCAUGACUGUGUUACGCAACUUCAGGUUUGCCUAUGAGUGGGAGUGUGUGAAGUGUUUUGUUAUUAAAUGUUGAAAAGAUCGUGUAUAUUGGGAUUAAGGUCCCCCUCCUGUAAGUGUGUCUACUGACUAGCAUGUUAGGAUGUUCUGAGAACGCUGAGGACUUGAGAUUUGAGUUGGUGCCUAUAGGAAGAUUAUGUAUAUGGAUGUAGGUGAAGAAUUAAAAGAGUGACAGGCAUGAAGGUUUAUCUCUAAAGAGAUAAUGGUGAAGUGAAUUUGAAUGGAGAGGGAAUUGAUACCAAGGAGAAAGGAAUGAGAGUUUUGAUUAUAGAAUUUAGGCAUUUGAAAAGAUGGACAUUGACACCUUCUCAACCCGUGUGUCUGGGUGGAAAUACGUAUUGCGUGACAGAGGGGAAGAAUUCCUAAUAGAAUUUGUGGAGCUCCAUAGUUUGAGUGUGGUUGGAGCUACCACUUCAGAAGAUCGAAAGGGAAAAUUUCUUUGAGGGAAGGCGCCUCCCUCGAGCAGUUACUAGUUCACUUGCUUUAUGGUGAAGUGUGGAUUUCAUUAUGGGAAAAGUGAGUUCUCAAUUGGUUUGGAGUAUAAAUGCGAAGGAUGUGAUGGCUUUGCCUAUUGAUACUGCAAAUCCCGUGUUGGAGAUUUUACUGUAUUAACUGCAGAUUUUGCUCAUUUGGUAAAGGGAUAUAUGAACAAGUUGAAUACAAACUUUAAGUUUUUUAUCCAGCUGGCAUAAAGGUGAUGGCCCGAUUAAAGAAAUUUGUCUUGAUAUGUUCACUAUGGAACUACCAGUGUGAAGGGGAAAAAAGGAAUGUAAAUAUAUAUAUAUGUUCCCUUUAUAAUUUGGAAUAAAUUGGUAUAUGGGCA